GAUCAUUCACUUAUUUGCAUCGGUCCCCUACAUAGAGGAUGCGUAGGCCGGAGCUGACUGCUGAGAUAAACUACUAAGGACUUAUACGGAAAUGAUGAUUAAAGCCAUGGUAUAUGGGGUUUCGGGAAUGAUUCCUAUAUUUACGAAGCUUAUGGUGCUAAAACAGAUACUGAUGUUUCGCAAAGUUCUCCCAAGUCACCGCAUCCUUACACAAAAC
RNAcentral lists this long non-coding RNA (217 nucleotides) under Lathyrus oleraceus (garden pea). RNAcentral describes it as "Pisum sativum (pea) long non-coding RNA (PSAT_LNC018159)". The record is from RNAcentral. Lineage: Eukaryota; Viridiplantae; Streptophyta; Magnoliopsida; Fabales; Fabaceae.